UCCGGAUCGGGGCUCAGCGGCGGAGGAUUACCUCCUUGCCUAUCUGCUACACACCCGUCAUCGCGCUUCUCGCAGACAGGCGUCCUCUACUGUCCCCCGCCCUCUAAAGAACGCCCCACCGGCGCUGCGAGUCCUUUGCCUCGUGCGUGCCUGCACCGCAUCGGAGAGGCAUCCAAGCCGACCAUGUGGAACCUCUAUCAGCGAAAUCCCGGUCACCGGUCGGCUGAGGACGAUAGCGGCAGUGAGCUCGCCCUAGACUCGCUCCCGCACAGCCCCUUUCGUGUCGCCACGGCACCACAGGCAAGGAUUUCCCGACCCCACGUACCGUUUCGCCAGUGCCUUAUCGGUGCGGCUCUCAUUGCUGUGUCACUGACGCUCUUCGCGAGUCUUCGCAAGCUCCCCGACAUCCCCAGUGAGGACGCCAGCAUGGCAGAAACCGAGGCACCGCUGCCCCGAGCCGGCAGCCAACUUCCAGAGCCGCAGAACACUCUCACGAACGUGUCUCUUAUCAUGCCUCUCUUGCACGGUGGCGACCCCGGUUCCGGGAACACGACAGAAUACGUGCUCCUAAGCAACUUGCUCGGUCCGCUAGUGCAGUCUGAGGACGCCCUUUGCCAUCGUGGCGCCAACAGCGCACAGGCUCCUGCCUACCAGGUGCAUGCGGUGGUUGUAAGCGGGGCCGCUGCAGCCUCCUCUGUACUCGGUGGCGCGGUACGUGGCGUGCUGUCUGAUGGCGUGUUGCACAGCGGUGAUGUGCUUCCGCAGGGCCGCCCCCGUGAUGAGCUGACGCCUGCGCCGUCGUGGCGCGCGUGGGAGCUGAGCAUGGACGCCGUGCGCGCCGCUCUUGGCGGUGCCGCGCGUGGCGGUGCGCGGUGCCUCGGCGACCGUGUGACGCUGGUGGCACCUGCAGCGCCGGCGCCGGACACAACGGUGGAGGUGCUCGUGGACGCUGCACUGCGCACGCGUGGCGGCCGCGCCGGGUCGCACUUCGUUGUGCUGUCGUCGUUCCUUGGCGCGACGCGGAUGCCGUACACGGAGCCCGGCGACGCGCUGGAGACGCGCCACGAGGGCACUGGGCUGCUGGACGCGCUUGUGCGCACAGCAACGCAGCGCAACGGCGGCCGCGUCGCAGCUGCACAGUGCACUAUACUGCAGCACGGUGGCGACAGCGGCGGCUGGCGCUACCCACCGCCGCGGCUCACAGCAAGGGAGCUCGCUUCGCUGCGUGUCGUGGACAAGGGCGGGAUGACAGGGGCCACACACAACGGCGAGGUGCUGCUGCCGUACCUGACGCGGCGGCUGAGCGGGUACAGCGCUGCGGACCAGCGCGCAUCGUGGGAGGAGGUGGUGGACGCCGUGUCGCUGCACUGCGGCAUCUUCGACCGCCGUGUGUACGACGCUGUUGGCGGGCUUGCGGGCGCGCUGUCGGAGCCCGCUGUGAGGGACGCCGUGAGUGUGCGCGAUGACCACGCGAUGGGUGCCGUGGACCGUGGUGGGUGGGCACUGACGCUGCGGAUGCAGGAGGCGUACCCUGCGUGGCAGGUGUGGGGCAGUCGCGCUGCUGCGGUGGUGCGCGACGACGUUGCCGGCGUGCGUGCGCUCCCUGCCGUUGUUUCGCUGCAACGGCCUGUGUUCUCGCUGCUGGACCGGUACGGCCGCACCGCAUACAGUGUGGUGACGGAGCUGCAGCGCCGCCGCGUGGGAGUGCCGUGGCGUCUUCGUGGUGAGGACUCGCACCACUCUGCAGAGCGGACUGCUGUGGUGCAGAACUGCCUCCCGCCGGUGAUCCGGUACCACACGGACUUCAGCGCUCCCUGUAUCGGGCUGAACCGUGAGGCGAUGGCGUACAUCCGUCCGUUGAUGGAGCGCUACGGGAUCGGUGUGAUGGGGGGCGGGGGGCGCAGCUCAUGCCCGAAAUCCGGAGACGCGCUCCUUCAGCUUGCAUACGGGGGUGUGAGGGAUCUGUUCAGCAGCGUGUCGUCCCCGGCGACCCACAGCUUUUUCCGCGAUCGCCUGCGCCACCGCGCCCUCCUCGUCUUCCAACACUGGGGUGCGCUACAGUUCUUCCCAGUUCCCAAGCGCCGGUUCCAUGAGUGCCCAGAGGUGUACAUCGGGCACAGCAUGAGCGAGCUGUCCAACAUCCAGCAGAAGUGGAUAGUGCCGAUGCGGACACGUGCCGACGAGAUCUGGACGACGGCGGACUUCUUCGCCACCAUUUACCGCCGCAACGGUGUGAGCCCCGACAAGAUCCGCGUUGUGCCGGAGGCCGUGGAUGUGUACGAGUACGACCCGGCCAACUACGCACGGCAGCCCACGAUGAGUAGGUGCGCGAGCAUAUCGUCGUGCGACAACCGCCCGAGCUUGACAGAGGAGGAGCGGCUGCAGCGGUACGUGUUCUUCUCGAGCUUCAAGUGGGAGGACCGCAAGGGGUGGGACGUGCUGCUGAAGGCGUACUGGGCCGCGUUCGGUCCCUCUGCCCCGUCGCAGCUGCGUGAGCGCACGACGCUGGUGAUCAAGACACGCCUCACACGUCGCUAUUCUCCUGAGUUGUCUCGCGAUUCGGUCCUACACUUCAUUGAGACAUGGGGACGCGGCGGUGCGUUGCCGGGGAUGACGUCGAUGGCUGACUAUCCCCACAUCAUCAUUGUCACGGGCGAGGUGAGCGCGACUGAAGUUGUUCAGAUGUACGCGAACGCGGAUGCCUUUGUGCACCCGACGAAGGCGGAGGGGUGGGGCCUGCCUGCCGUGGAGGCGAUGGCGAUGGGGCUGCCGGUGCUUGUCACGGAGUGGGGCGGGCCGCUGCGGUUCAUGGAGCGCGACUCUUGCUUCCGCAUUCCUGUGGACGGGCUUGAAGAGAUCUCGCCAAAUUCGCCGUACGGGUACGAGGAGGGCAUGAAGAUGGCCAUCCCGAGUGUGGAGAAGACUGCGGAGCUGAUGCGGUACGUCGUGGAGCACCCGGAGCACGCGCGGCGCGUUGGUCGUCGUGCGCGUGAGUACGCUGUGCGUGAGCUGAGCGAGGAGGCUGUUGCGGACCGCAUGGACCGUCUGUUUGUGGACUCUGUGAUCGGGAGGCAGCGCGGCUGAGUCACGUGCGACUCGUUGGUUUCUCUUGGGUGUGUUGCGGAGUGCGUUGAGUUUCUGAUGAGGGUCGCACUGCUGUUGCCCUGCCGUUUAGGCUCGGUCUUUGCUCAAGGAGGCUGCGGGCGUGGUGACUUCCUCUGCUAUAUUGAUAGAGCAUCACGGCCUGUAAGGUUUCGUAUGUGUGCUGGUUUGGAGUCUGAUGUAUCUGCUUUCUAUGGCCCCUCCAGACUGGCAGACGUGCUUGGGUGUUUCUCUGUCUGUCCAACGCUGGCGGGCCUUGUGACAAUCAGCUGUGGAAGCAGCCUACUAUCUUGCCUAUCAGCACGUGACGAGUUAAUGAGCUAGCGGACACUGGGCCGAGGGAUUCAUGGGGCCUUGCGCCGGAGAUGGCCUGUGUCUGCGAAGCGGCCUUCACUGGAUAGCGGGAGCGCAGUGUUGAGCAGGCUACUCGUGGUUGCCGCUGCUGCGUGAAGAGGCGCCGCGGUGGAAAGGGUGAAGUGGUCGGAGACGCGGGGAGCACGGGUCCUUAGAGUGCGCUGCUGGCUUUGGCGUGUCUUGCCGCUUGCUGCUCCCCAAGCUUUUCUGCAUGCACCCUUACGAAUGCGCAGGAUGCCGGCUGCCUGAAACCCUACUAGCCACCAUGUGUGAUGGAUAUGGCUUCUGGUACCGCCUGUCACCCUCUUCCCUUGUUUUCUGCUCGUACUCUCCCUGUCACUUGUACCCUUCGGUGCGCGCACGGUGCGCUGGUGGAUAUCCUCUCACUGUGCGGCUUUUUCGUUUUUCGUAACGGUCUGAGCUCGUCCCUCACACCUCCCAUUCACUCCUUCCUCCCGUUGCUUGUUCUUCUUAUCGUCACGCGUUAG
This 3944-nucleotide unclassified non-coding RNA is filed under the name Leishmania donovani. Its description in RNAcentral is "gene:LdHU3.31.3460(CDS-product:mannosyltransferas e-like_protein)". Lineage: Eukaryota; Euglenozoa; Kinetoplastea; Trypanosomatida; Trypanosomatidae. The record is from RNAcentral.